UGCGUAGGUGGCAGUGCAAGUCAGAUGUGAAAGGCCGGGGCUCAACCCCGGAGCUGCAUUUGAAACUGCAUAGCUGGAGUACAGGAGAGGCAGGCGGAAUUCCUAGUGUAGCGGUGAAAUGCGUAGAUAUUAGGAGGAACACCAGUGGCGAAGGCGGCCUGCUGGACUGUUACUGACAUGAGGCACGAAAGCGUGGGGAGCAAACA
Molecule: ribosomal RNA, 206 nt
Filed under: uncultured bacterium
Lineage: Bacteria
Description: partial 16S ribosomal RNA
Rfam family: Bacterial small subunit ribosomal RNA
Source: RNAcentral